UGACGAAAAAUGUAUAGAUGUUGGCAACGACAGUUGUUCUUAACUCGCUAAUGAGUUUCUAAUAAUGCAUGCCAAUAGACUUAUUUUUUUAAUGGGGGCUUAUUUCAAAAACUCGUUUUCACAUCAAUCCAGCAGUCGGAAAGGUAAAAGUUUAGUAUAAAUAGGCGCUUCCUCUACUCAUAUAUUCAUUAAAUUUUCUACUAUCACUUGAAAAUCGUGACAAAAAAAGUUGAGCUGAAGUUAACAAAAUGAAAAUAGCCAUCAUUAUGUUUCUAUUUACUCUGAUUAUGGCGCUUGCAUGCAGUGCUAUGGGCCAGCCAAUGCCGCAUCAUCAUGACCAUGAACAUGAACAUCAUCACGAUCAUCACGAAUUUGAACAUGACGAGUUUGAACAUGAGGGAUUUGAACACGACGAAUUUGAACAUCACGGACAUGAAUAUCACUAGCAUUGAGAAAAUGUUUACCAAUUUGCAUUUUCGGGUGAAAAAUUCAAAAAAUCAAUCACCAAACCCAUCAGAGAGUAUCAGGAAUCCGAAAUAAAAUUUGAUAAAGUA
Long non-coding RNA from Dendroctonus ponderosae (mountain pine beetle), 554 nucleotides. RefSeq lists it as uncharacterized. The transcript has 2 exons. The record is from RefSeq and is a predicted model, not a curated record. NCBI's taxonomy places the organism in Eukaryota, Metazoa, Arthropoda, Insecta, Coleoptera, Curculionidae.